Molecule: ribosomal RNA, 495 nt
Filed under: uncultured bacterium
Lineage: Bacteria
Description: partial 16S ribosomal RNA
Rfam family: Bacterial small subunit ribosomal RNA
Source: RNAcentral
UGAACGCUGGCGGCGUGCCUAAUACAUGCCAGUCGAGCGACCAGACGCGGAGCUUGCUCCUCUGACGUUAGCGGCGGACGGGUGAGUAACACGCGGAUAACCUACCUAUAAGACUGGGAUAACUUCGGGAAACCGGAGCUAAUACCGGAUAAUAUAUUGAACCGCAUGGUUCAAUAGUGAAAGACGGUUUUGCUGUCACUUAUAGAUGGAUCCGCGCCGCAUUAGCUAGUUGGUAAGGUAACGGCUUACCAAGGCAACGAUGCGUAGCCGACCUGAGAGGGUGAUCGGCCACACUGGAACUGAGACACGGUCCAGACUCCUACGGGAGGCAGCAGUAGGGAAUCUUCCGCAAUGGGCGAAAGCCUGACGGAGCAACGCCGCGUGAGUGAUGAAGGUCUUCGGAUCGUAAAACUCUGUUAUUAGGGAAGAACAAAUGUGUAAGUAACUAUGCACGUCUUGACGGUACCUAAUCAGAAAGCCACGGCUAACUACGUG